CCGCCCCUCGACUCGGGAGACUGUAAAAGUUUGUCUCAGCUCCAGCAUCCCGAGCCUCAACACGCCCUCAGGUAAAGCCCCUCCAGCUCGAAUAAUGAAGAGACAGUCAAUGCAAUCUGCAAGCGGCGGCCCAUUGUACGCAGCUGAUGGAAAGAAGGCAACCGGGGCCGGCGAGGGCUCCUUGCCCUCUCUCCUCUCCUCAAAUAAACGCGCUCAUGUCUCCUGAUCAGUUAAAAGGUGAAAUGAACACGAUUAAAAGACAAAAAGAGAGACAGAGAUAGAGAGAUAGAGAGAGAGAGGGAGAGAAGAAAAGAAGGAAGAAAAAGAACAAGCUUUCUACAUAUAAAUUCUAAAUUUUAUUCCUCAUGUAGUACAAAGGCAGGCAGUCGAGGGCAGAGAAAGCAGGCAGGGAGAGGGAGACAGGGAGAAGCAAAGAGAACGUGGAGAGAUACGGAGCGAGUGGAAGAGGAAGGAGGAAGGAGAGCAAGCUCCAGGGAACUGGAGGCGCCCUGGACGCCCAGCCCUCCGGCCCAGCCGCCCUCGGACUCUGGACCGCGAGUCGUGGGCACCAGAAGCGAGACUCGGCCAAGUCCUGCCCUACCAGAGAGACCACAGAACAGAAAUAACCCUGUUUUAUCAAGCCCAUCUGGAGAGAUGAACAUGCCUGCAAUCGUUGGGAGAAAGGGAUUGAGAAACGGAAAUUUCACCACCCUCCAGCCAAACUUUCGAGGACUGAUUGCAGAGGAACUGGUGCUCCAGAUGUUGCACUAGAGGCGCUGCAAGUGUGAGCAGAUGGCAGUAGACCUACCUCACAAGUGGGAGCAGAUAUUCUCAAUGUUUCUAUUGAAAUAUCUUUAUUUCCAUUUGCAAGAGGAGCUCUGGAGCCUCAUUCUUGUGGUAGCUACCAAGUUCUGAUAUAAGCUGUUUUCAUCAGGGAACUUUGGCAAGAGAAUGGCUGGAUCAGCAAGUCCAUCUCCAUCAUGGAACAACAACUUGAAGCUCAUCUCUGUUGAUGGUGAGUCAAUGUCAUCUUCAGACAGGAACAAUCAUGCUAGUGUUAUUUUAUGUUUUCAGUGUUAUUAAACAACAGUUUGGUUUAAAUUUUGUUUUAUGAGACAUUAUUAGGAUUUUGAGCCAUAAUAUUUCAUUACUUGAGUCUAAAGGAUUGCAUAAAAAUCAACCUAAUAGUAAAAAGGAAAGGGAAUAAUAAUUUAGUGUUUAUGAAUAUACCUAAAAGUAGUUUGAUUAGCUUUUGUCAUCUCUGUUCUUAUUUUUAUAUAGCACAUGCUGGCUAACUUAUUCAUGACUUUUGUUUAAAUAAAUAUUGGCCAGCACAGAAUCACACAUACAUGAUUAUUUUAAAAUGUAUUACUGAUUUCAGGAAAUUUCAGGAUAACUGUAGUGUAAUUGUGAUGAUUCCCUUCCAUUUUCAGAUACAUAGAUUAUUUGGUCUUUCAUCUGGUAGCCAUUGUUAAUGCUUACUGCUGCUUGUUAUCCCAGAGAUACAGUGGAUGACAACAUAUAUACAUAUAUACAUUUAAUAUUAUUACAAGAGUUAUUAAUAUUAAUAUUAAGAUUGAACUCUUCCUCCCUAUGCUCUGUAAGUAAUUAAGUAUAACUUGAUGCAUUCUUCAAAAUCUCUUUACUCAAAAACAUUAUUUUUAGAUGAUUUGUCUCAUUAAUAUUAUUAUUUUCACAUUAAGCCUACAUCAAAUAUUUUUAGUUGGACUAGACUUUGGAAAUUUCUUCAGUAUUAUAAUGCAAGUCAAACAGAAUUAUUUAGUGUAUAAACUUGAGUAUCAGGAGUUCCCAUUGUGGCACAGUGGAAACAAAUCCGACUAGGAACCUUGAGGUUGCGGGUUCAAUCCCUGGUCUCGCUCAGUGGGUUAAGGAUCUGGUGUUGCCGUGAGCUGUGGUGUAGGUUGCAGACGCAGCUUGGAUCCUGCGUUACUGUGGCUUGGGUAUAGGCUGGCGGUUGUAGCUCUGAUUUGACCCCUAGCCUGGAAACCUUCAUAUGCCAUGGAUGCAGCCAUAAAAAGCCAAAAAAAAACCCCCAACCCCCCCCAAAACAAACAAACAAAAACCCCCAUGAGUGUCAUAACUAGGAUAAUUUCUGUUCUAUCUAUUAUGAUAAGACACCAUUUCUUGAAUAAUUAAUAUUUGCUCAGCCCUAUGCUAAGUGCUUUCUAUAUCUUAUUGUAUCUUUACAACAUUAUUAUAGGGCAGAAAUAAUUAUCCCAGGUUUAUAGAUAAGGAAACUAAGACUCAAAGAGUUCAGUAAUUUAUAUAAGUUCAGUAAUUUGGAAUCCAACCUUGGACUACCUGACCUCAGACCUCCAGUUUAUAAAUGUGGUGUUAAGCUGCAUGAAGCUUUUAUAUAUGUAACUUAAGACUGGGCUGCUUUACUUUUGAAGCAUAGUCUGACUAGUUCACAGUGAUUUUAUACUACUGAUUGAGGUGUACCAUGAUGUGUCUGUGUAUAACAUUUACUUUUGUGAGUUUACGGGGACAUAACUUUUGACAGGCUGUCUACAUAUUAUAUGUACUUGAUGUUGUUUGUGUAUACAAAUGCAUCUAUGAAUUCUUCAAGUAGAAUCUUGAUGAUGCUUCCUUGGUAAACUUGGUGUAUCUUUAGUGUCUGCCCUACUCUUCAGGUAGUAGAAUUGCUGCUCAAUUUUGCUAGAGGCUGAGACCCUUGUUUUGGGAGAACAUUUACCCAUUAUUAUAAGACAGGUUGGCCAAAAUGGUGAUGUUAAUUUUUUGUCAGAUACAUAAUGAAAUAUGAAAUGUUAGUUUGACCAUUGUUGAACAAAGCCAAGUGUGUACAUUGUUUAGAUAUUAUGGAAACCUAUGGUCCUGUGAUUUUUCAAAGGUUUCUGUUGUUUAUAAGAUAUAUAUCGUGCUCUCUUUAGAGGACAUACAGGAUUUUUGUUAUUGGGCCAUUGCAUACUGCUUCAGGAAUAUCUCUGAUAGCCUUCUCCCUUACCACCCAACCUCAUAUAUACUCCAUACAUGUUAACCUCAGUUAAACUGAAUAGUCACCCUACCAUGACUAGGGUGACUAGUUGGCAUUGUGAUCUUCCCUCCUUCCUCCAUGAUGAAUACCAAAUUUUCAUUUAAGAUUCAACUUUGUGGAGUUCCUAUUGGAGCUCAGUGGGUUAAGAACCUGACAUAGGUCCAUGAGGAUACGAGUUCAAUCCCUGCCCUCACUCAGUGGGUUAAGGAUCCAGCAUUGCUGCAAACUGUGGUGUAGGUCACAUAUAUGGCUUGUAUCCUGUAUUGCUGUGGCAUAGCCCUCAGCUGCAGCUCUGAUUUGACCCCUAGCCUGGGAACUUCCAUGUGCCCCAGGUGAGGCAGUAAAAAAAAAAAAAAAAAAAAA
This 3379-nucleotide long non-coding RNA is filed under the name Sus scrofa (pig). Its description in RNAcentral is "lncRNA (ENSSSCG00040021060.1)". Lineage: Eukaryota; Metazoa; Chordata; Mammalia; Artiodactyla; Suidae. The record is from RNAcentral.